Molecule: transfer RNA, 72 nt
Filed under: Smerkata fusca
Lineage: Eukaryota; Metazoa; Arthropoda; Insecta; Lepidoptera; Endromidae
Description: tRNA-His
Source: RNAcentral
AGUUAAUAUUUAAAUAAUUUAAUAAAAAUAUUGAUUUGUGGUAUCAAAAAUAUGAAAUUUUCAUUUUAAAUU